This 378-nucleotide ribosomal RNA is filed under the name uncultured bacterium. RNAcentral's name for it is "bacterial SSU rRNA". It matches the Rfam family "Bacterial small subunit ribosomal RNA", at positions 29 to 407 of the family's 1533-position model. The record is from RNAcentral.
AUUGAACGCUGGCGGCAUGCUUUACACAUGCAAGUCGAACGGUAACAGGCCUUCGGGUGCUGACGAGUGGCGAACGGGUGAGUAAUGCAUCGGAACGUGCCCAAUCGUGGGGGGAUAACGUAGCGAAAGUUACGCUAAUACCGCAUAAGCCCUGAGGGGGAAAUGGGGGACCGCAAGGGCCUCACGCGAAUGGAGCGGCCGAUGUCAGAUUAGCUAGUUGGUGGGGUAAAAGGCCCACCAAGGCGACGAUCUGUAGCGGGUCUGAGAGGAUGAUCCGCCACACUGGGACUGAGACACGGCCCAGACUCCUACGGGAGGCAGCAGUGGGGAAUUUUGGGACAAUGGGCGCAAGCCUGAUCCAGCCAUGCCGCGUGCGGG